GUCAUGACCUCCGUGCCGCCGCUAACGCAUUAAGUAUUCCGCCUGGGGAGUACGUCGCAAGAUUAAAACUCAAAGGAAUUGACGGGGGCCCGCACAAGCAGCGGAGCAUGUGGUUUAAUUCGAAGCAACGCGAAGAACCUUACCUAGACUUGACAUCUCCUGAAUUACUCUGUAAUGGAGGAAGUCGCUUCGGCGACAGGAAGACAGGUGGUGCAUGGUUGUCGUCAGCUCGUGUCGUGAGAUGUUGGGUUAAGUCCCGCAACGAGCGCAACCCUUAUUGUUAGUUGCUACCAUUUAGUUGAGCACUCUAGCGAGACUGCCCGGGUUAACCGGGAGGAAGGUGGGGAUGACGUCAAAUCAUCAUGCCCCUUAUGUCUAGGGCUACACACGUGCUACAAUGGUCGGUACAGAGAGAUGCUAAACCGUGAGGUGGAGCCAAACUUUAAAACCGAUCUCAGUUCGGAUUGUAGGCUGAAACUCGCCUACAUGAAGCUGGAGUUGCUAGUAAUCGCGAAUCAGAAUGUCGCGGUGAAUACGUUCCCGGGCCUUGUACACACCGCCCGUCACACCAUGAGAGUUGGCAAUACCCAAAGUUCGUGAGCUAACCGCAAGGAGGCAGCGACCUAAGGUAGGGUCAGCGAUUGGGGUGAGGUCGUAACAAGGUAACCGU
Molecule: ribosomal RNA, 670 nt
Filed under: uncultured bacterium
Lineage: Bacteria
Description: bacterial SSU rRNA
Rfam family: Bacterial small subunit ribosomal RNA
Source: RNAcentral